RNAcentral lists this long non-coding RNA (4424 nucleotides) under Fragaria vesca (wild strawberry). Its description in RNAcentral is "long non-coding RNA (FVES_LNC005407)". The record is from RNAcentral. Lineage: Eukaryota; Viridiplantae; Streptophyta; Magnoliopsida; Rosales; Rosaceae.
AGUAGGAGACGAGGCAUAGUCACCCGCUUUUCGGCCAGUUUUCAUCAGUAGGUUACCUGUUCAACCUACUUGUGUUUUCUUGCUUCCGCUUGUGUUUAGUAGCUCUGAAUACUUUAGAAUUUUGUAUAUUAUGUGAUAUUCAGAAGCGUUAAAUUAAGAGUGUAAUAUGAAAUUUUCGAGUUAGGGUUGUCCAUCUGCAAGGGAGUUUUUCUUAAUCUUUUCAGUAAAUUUUCCUUGGAGGUGGUCCCCGCACGACUUACUCUGGGUUUCAGGGUGAAAUUCGGGGUGGGUCGUGUCAAUUGCCCUUCUUGGGGGCAACCUUUAAGUUAAGAGUACUUUGAUCCUUGUUGUGUUUGUUGCUAAGGUUAAUAUGUGUGUUAUUUUAGGUGAUUUGUGAAAUUGUGAGUUGGCUUGCUCUUGUGUUUUGCGGAAACGCAACGGGCUAUUGAGGUGAGUAAAUCUCACCAAGGUUCAAUUUUGAACCUAAUGUUAUUAUGGUCAUAUGAUGAUAAUGAUGAUGAUGUUGGAUUUAAUAAUAUGCUUUUAAUUGUUUUAAAAUUAUAUGAGCUUGAUCGCCAACGGCUCAUAGGUAAGAUAAAACAAGUUUUCUUUAUAUGCUAUUUUUGAGAUUAAUGUGAUCAUAAUUUUAUUGAUUAUUGAUAGGUUAUUCUUGUGGAAUAUCUAUAUUUUAUUCAUGUAAAUAUAUCUAUGUGGAAGGAUAUAAGUUAUGGUGAGAUAUUGUGUUGUUGAGAAUAAUGAUGUGAUAUUGUGUUGUUGAGAAUAAUGAUGUGAUACUGUGUUGUUGAGGAUAAUGUUGUGAUAUUAUGAUUGUUGGAUAAAUAGCCAAACCGGGUGGUUAAGAUGCUAUUUAUCAUUUUUGUGUUUGAUAUUAGACAGUCAAACCGGGUUCCAAGCCUUUGGCCGGGUGAUUGGUUGUGGUUAGGAAUAGGGCUCUGGUCCGUCUGUCAGUGUAGGUCAUGGGAGAGACCGUAUGGUAUCUGGGACCCAUGGGUACACAUUUUGUUGUUGUAGGUCAUGAGGGGUAUUUAUUAAUACCUGGGACUCAUGGGUACAUGUUAAUUGAGAUAGUGUUGAAAUUGUGGUUUUAAUUAUUGAUAUAAGUUACUCAUGUGUUAUAAUGGGUUGUUGGAGGUGUUUUGGCCACACCAGUAAGUCUGGGCGAGCAAAGUCUCUUUUAGUUGUUGCCGGCGUGCCACCGCGCGGACGCAGAAUGUAGUGGUUGUAGUAGCGGGGUGCGCUUAGCCUUUUGCUUCUAAUCAAGCGACUGAGGAUGGAGAGAGCACCAACUCCACCGCAGGGUUCUUCAGAUUCGCCUUGCGUACUGGGCAAGGACUUACAGUAGUCCGCCUGAGCGUCACAAUAUCGAUACUCGACGUAGGAUCGAGCAGAGCUUCAAUUGGGAAGGAGAGGAAAAAGAAAGAGAAAGCUCCGGAGAGCGUACAGGGAAACGAAAGGAAAGCUCUGGGGAGCGUCUGAGGUUCGACUAGGUCGAGAAUUGUAUUGUAUUUUGUAGAGUUGAGUUGUUGAUUUGUUGUUGUGUGUCGUUGUCGUGCUCGAACUCCUUUAUAUAGAAUUACUUAGGGCCACAGGUAUUAGCCCAAAGCAUGUCAAAGACUUGUAGGAGUCUUCAACGUUGAGAUUGCAUCGUAAGCAGUCCUUAUCAACUCUUUGUCGUUGCUCUUCUUGAAGGUAAUAGAGUUGGUUUAGAAUACAUUCUUCUCACGGACGUAUGCAUGGAUCACACAUAGCUUAGGAUGGUUGCAUCCUCACUUGAUUACUUCCCUCCAUGCACUAAUAGCAAAGUGAUAUAUGCAGAUAUAUACUCAUCUAUAUGUAUAUUGAUAGGAUAAUCCUUCAUGUCCAGGACUCCUAGGCGAAGUCUCUGCUCCGCAUAUGUAUGGACUUCUAGGGAAGCCUCCUCCACCAAGCAANNNNNNNNNNNNNNNNNNNNUCCAUAUGUGGAUGAUUAUGAGAAUAAUAUGUAUAUGAGAGAAUGCUAGCUAGCUAUACGUGCUUUUCCACCAUACUGAGGUAAAAUUCCAUUAUGGUGCGACGUGAGCGUUAGACGCAAUCGUCGUAGCCCUAUAUAAAAAUAAUAAUUUAUAUAGGGGAUAUGCACGUAUAUUUAUACACCGUCUUUUCCACCAUAAUGAGGUAAAAUGCCAUUAUGGUGCGACGUGAGCGUUAGACGCAAGCGUCGUAGCCUUGUCUGAAUUUUCUAUUUGUUUUUGUUGUUUCAAGAAAAUUCAUACAAGGGAUAUGACGAGUGUAAUACAUACAUAUUUUAUUUUAGCCUGAGAGGCUGUAUUCUAUUGAGCGUUAGAGACUGGCCGGAGCUAGUCAUGAAAUUUCCAGUUUUCGUGUUGAGUGUUUUGAGCUGUCGCAUGCAACAUAUUCUUUCUAUGGAAAAGUAAAAUUAGGAAAACAUAAAGAAUUAUUUUAUUUAUUUUAUUUUUGUCCACUCACUCUAACGUGUUCAAAUGUUUCCCCUGGGCCCUUCGUUUUAAAAUACCCAGUCUGCAGAGUUCGGGUUGGACCUAGUAGGAGACGAGGCAUAGUCACCCGCAUUUCAACCACUUUUCAUCAGUAGGUUAUCUGUUUAACCUACCUGUGGUUUCUUUUUCCGCUAGUGUUUAGUAGCUUUGAAUACUUGGGUUUAAUGUAUAUUUUUUUCGGUUGUGGGUGAAGACUUGUUGACGUCUUAGAAUAUUUGUUGGAGGAUUUAUGUUAUCUUUUGGAUAAUUAUAUUUAAUGUAUGGAUAAUGUUGUGUUGUUGGUGGUAGUUGUAUUUGGGGAGCACGUAGGCUCCAGGAGUUAAGGUUGGAUUAAAUUUUUUGGAAGUGUUUGCAGGUUUUCUUUAGGAAGGGUUAUCCAUUUUCAAGGGAGGUUAUGCCGAUUUUUCGGUAAUAUCUUUCUUGGAGGUGGUCCCUGCACGUUUUACUCCGGGUUUCAGGGUGAAAUUCGGGGNNNNNNNNNNNNNNNNNNNNAUCAUCCGCUUCUGGGUCUUCUGCUGGUAGUGGCAGUGGUGGUAGAUCUAGCUCUGGUGUUCGAAGUAAGUCUAAGGGACGUUUCAGGAGUUCUUCUCGGAGUCAUUUGGGUAGGCAGCAAUCUGGGCAGUAUGGUUCUGGUGGUAGCUUCCAUGGUGGGUCAUCCGGUAGCCAGACUUUUUCUUAUGGGCAGCAGCAGUUUUCUGGAUGCUUUGAGUGUGGUGGUCAAGACCACUUCAGGAGAGAUUGCCCAUUGUUGGCUCAGAGGACCACCCCCACCCAUACUCAGCCAGUUGGUCAGUCUUCAGCUAGGGGCUCUAGUAGUGGUGCCCAAGACAGUGCUUCAGUUAGAGGUGGCUCUCAGAGAGGUGGUGGUCAGCGUGGACGUGCCAUGACUCGCGCUAGACUGCAUGCUAUGACCUAGCAGGAGGGUCGUACUUCUCCAGAUGUCAUCAUUGGUACGUUAUUAAUUUUUGGUCAGCCUGCUUUUACUUUAAUUGAUCCCGGAGCCACGCAUUCAUUCAUGUCUAGUAGAUUUGCCCUCCAUGCCAAUGUGCCAUCAUCGUCUCUUCCAGGCGAGUGGCAUGUGUCUCUACCCUCCGGUGAGGUGAUGAGAAUAAAUUGGGUGUUUAGUGGUUGUGAAGUUUUAGUGGAAGGAGUUAAUUUCAAGGCUGAUUUAAUUCCUUUAGAUAUAGUGGAGUUUGAUGUUUGGAUAAUGUUGUGUUGUUGGUGGUAGUUGUAUUUGGGGAGCACGUAGGCUCCAGGAGUUAAGGUUGGAUUAAAUUUUUUGGAAAUGUUUGCAGGUUUUCUUUAGGAAGGGUUAUCCAUUUUCAAGGGAGGUUAUGCCGAUUUUUCGGUAAUAUUUUUCUUGGAGGUGGUCCCCGCACGUUUUACUCCGGGUUUUAAGAUGAAAUUCGGGGUGGGUCGUGUCAGUGAAGGCUAAGUGUUGAUUAUGUUUUGUUUUUGCAUCUUAGGUGCUAAGCUGUUCAUGGUGUUUCAUUAGAUCGGAAACUUAGAAAGUUUGAUCUUGAAGGUAGUUUGGUUGUUGUUGAGUGUCCAAUGACCUUGGGAGGUCUUGGAGGAAGGAUUACCCUUCUUGGGGGCAACCUUUAAGUUAAGAGUACUUUGAUCCUUGUUGUGUUUGUUGCUAAGGUUAAUAUGUGUGUUAUUUUAGGUGAUUUGUGAAAUUGUGAGUUGGCUUGCUCUUGUGUUUUGCGGAAACGCAACGGGCUAUUGAGGUGAGUAAAUCUCACCAAGGUUCAAUUUUGAACCUAAUGUUAUUAUGGUCAUAUGAUGAUAAUGAUGAUGAUGUUGGAUUUAAUAAUAUGCUUUUAAUUGUUUUAAAAUUAUAUGAGCUUGAUCGCCAACGGCUCAUAGGUAAGAUAAAACAAGUUUUCUUUAUAUGCUAUUUUUGAG